GGUUCCAGAUCAUGCCCGAUCUGUUGCUCCGCUGGCGGGAUGCUUUACACAUGCAAGUCGAACGGCAGCACGAUCCGUCUGGUGGCGAUUGUUAACGGGGUGAGUAAUGUCAUCUGGAACGUGCCUAGUAGCGGGGGAUAACUACGCGAAAGCGUAGCUAAUACCGCAUACGCCCUUCGGGGAAAGCGGGGACCUUUCGGCGUCCUCGCACUAUUAGAGCGGCCGAUAUCGGAUUAGCUAGUUGGUGGGGUAACGGCUCACCAAGGCGACGAGUCCAGUUCAUCGAGAGAUAACGACUACUGAUCCGGGACUGGAGAUAUUUGGCCUAGAUUUCAUGGAGGCAGCAGUGGGGAAUUUUGGACAAUGGGGAACCUGAUCCAGCCAUCCCGCGUGUGCGAUGAAGUCUUUAUUCGUGCUACACUUUUGGCAGGAAAGAAGCGGUACGGGAUAAUACCCCGUGCAACUGACGGUACUCUGCAGAAUAAGCACCGGCUAACGGCGCCCGCCGCGGCCGCGGUAAUACGUAGGGUGCAAGCGUUAAUCGGAAUUACUGGGCGACACGCAACGGCAGGCGGUUCGGAAAGAAAGAUGUGAAAUCCCAGAGCUUAACUUUGUCCGUACUUUUAACUACUGAGCUAGAGUGUGUCAGAGGGAGGUGGAAUUCCGCGCCUGAUAACAUAUUACCUUCACGGUAGAUAUGCGGAGAACACCGAUGGCGAAGGCGUCCGAUACCACGAUUGACGUUCUGCCGCAGAGCGUGGGGAGCAAACAGGAUUAGAUACCCUGGUAGUCCACGCCCAAAACGAUGUCAACUAGCUGUUGGGGCCUUCGGGCCUUGGUAGCGCAAUUACAUCGUCACACUGGCUGACCGCCCGGGGAGUACGGUCGCAAGAUUAAAACUCAAAGGAAUUGACGGGGACCCGCACAAGUGGUGGAGAGGACGAUGCCUGCCAAGAUUAAUUCGAUGCAACGCGAAAACCUUACCACUCCUUGACAUGUCUGGAAUCCCGAAGAGAUCAGAGAGUGUCCGCACGAGGAACUGAACACAGGUGCUGCAUGGCUGCUUCCACUGGUCGUGUCGUGAGAUGUUGGGUUAAGUCCCCGCAACGAGCGCGUCCUGUCAUUGCUGACGUCGAUGCCUCAUCCCAUCGAACACUGCCGGUGACAAACCAGUCGAAUGCUGAUGACGUCAAGUCCGCCGGUCCUUCGAUGGAAUAUUAGCGCCCACGUCAUACAUCGCCUGGCGGUCGGCUCAACUCAUGAGGCUGGAGUUCAAUCCCAGAACCCGAUCGUAGUCCGGAUCGCAGUCUGCAACUCGACUGCGUGAAGUCGGAAUCGCUAUAACGCGGAUCAGCAUGUCGCGGUGAAUACGUUCCCGGGUCUUGUACACACCGCCCGUCACACCAUGGGAGUGGUUUACCAGGCGAAGUAGUUAGCCUAACCGUAAGGAGGGCGAUUACCACGGUAGAUCCAUGACGCGGGGUCCGGGCCGGGGCGGGGGCAAAAGGGGUAAAAAGGGGGGCGGGGCGGGUGGGGCGGGGGGGGGCGGGGUGGGGGCGCGGGGGGCCGGGGGGUGGGAUACCUGAUGCCCCAGGAGCACACG
RNAcentral lists this ribosomal RNA (1603 nucleotides) under uncultured Bordetella sp. RNAcentral describes it as "partial 16S-23S ribosomal RNA intergenic spacer". It matches the Rfam family "Bacterial small subunit ribosomal RNA". Lineage: Bacteria; Pseudomonadati; Pseudomonadota; Betaproteobacteria; Burkholderiales; Alcaligenaceae. The record is from RNAcentral.